This 464-nucleotide ribosomal RNA is filed under the name uncultured bacterium. RNAcentral describes it as "bacterial SSU rRNA". It matches the Rfam family "Bacterial small subunit ribosomal RNA", at positions 28 to 507 of the family's 1533-position model. The record is from RNAcentral.
GACGAACGCUGGCGGCGUGCUUAACACAUGCAAGUCGAGCGAUGAAACUUCUUCGGAAGUGGAUUAGCGGCGGACGGGUGAGUAACACGUGGGUAACCUGCCUCAUAGAGGGGAAUAGCCUUUCGAAAGGAAGAUUAAUACCGCAUAAGAUUGUAAUAUCGCAUGAUAUAGCAAUUAAAGGAGUAAUCCGCUAUGAGAUGGACCCGCGUCGCAUUAGCUAGUUGGUGAGGUAACGGCUCACCAAGGCGACGAUGCGUAGCCGACCUGAGAGGGUGAUCGGCCACAUUGGGACUGAGACACGGCCCAGACUCCUACGGGAGGCAGCAGUGGGGAAUAUUGCACAAUGGGGGAAACCCUGAUGCAGCAACGCCGCGUGAGUGAUGACGGUCUUCGGAUUGUAAACCUCUGUUUUCGGUGACGAACAAAUGACGGUAACCGAGUAGGAAGCCACGGCUAACUACGUG